AAGGAGCAUCUAGAUUCCGCAAGGAAUCCAGAGCCACUACGUCGGCAAAUGUUCGACGGUGGUUAGCUCAUGGGUGGAACGUUGACUAUUCGGCACGAUUGGUUAGGGACUGUAAGUACUGCUUCGGCGUGGAAAACAGAUUCUUGAUUGGUCGGGUCGGGCACGCUGUUGGGUAUCUGAAGGUAUGGCCGUAAGGCUGCCUUCGCUGCCGACCCCGGUGUACUCACUGGUUUCCAGUGGGGUGACGGGUGGUUGGUCGUUGUUUGAGAACUGCACAGUGGACGCGAGCAUCUGU
This 295-nucleotide unclassified non-coding RNA is filed under the name Streptomyces durmitorensis. RNAcentral describes it as "partial miscellaneous RNA". The record is from RNAcentral. Lineage: Bacteria; Bacillati; Actinomycetota; Actinomycetes; Kitasatosporales; Streptomycetaceae.